ACGCUUCUUUGGAGGUGUAAUUGAUCCGUGCCAGCAGCUCUCAUCUCUCGCGAUGCUCUCAGCCCACGGCGUGCAGUCGCUAGUCUCUGACGUGAGAUCUCGUUACCGAUCAUCUCAUAUGCCAGUCUGACCGAAGAGCAACCAGUGCAGCAGUGCAGAUGAAUAUUCUGAAAAUCAACAAACAAUAAACGAGAGAAGGUUCUGGUCCUUGGCGUCCUGGAGGCUUGAAAACAUCAGAUUUCGACAGGGGAGAGCGGAGGUGGACUGACUAAGUUGUCCUUGAGAGACUCUGCCUGAAAAGCAUCAAUGCCUGCCGACUUAGGUAUUUCCACGAUGGUUAUAUUUGCACGCACAGACUGGUAAAGUCCGGGCAAAUUGGAGCUACACCAUAACUUAUUUAUUUUCUUCCCUGUUCAAUUACGAACACAUCUAAGAUGGAGACGUUAAUCUCUCAGCUUCUCCAGCUACAUGCCUCCUGCUUGUGGGGGAAAAGGAAAGAAUGAACGGGGAGAGAAGAAUACUCAGUAAUUACAAAUAUUAAGGGAAUCUACAUUUUCUUUUUUGGCAAAUGGUAAGACUUUAUUCCCAGCCAAGUCUGGUGACAAUGUGAUAUACCCCAUCAAUAUUUAGCUGUUAAAGUAGAGGGAAGAGAUUGGAGGAAUUUCAAAGAUACUUGAAGCCACAGCAGUGUUCCUGGAAUCUAACUCCUGGUGGCGAGCGCAUCACUGAAACACAUUGGCUGUCUGAGGUUUGGCAUCUGUGCUAACAUCUUUGUGAGACAUCACAGUCGCACCUCAUGUGUCACGUGCUAGAUGGCGUUUAUUGAUCAUCGGGCCUGCAGGAAUUCAACAGAGCUUGUUAUUAGGGACAUUUUUAGCCUAUCCAAUUCUUAAAAAGGAGUGUCACAGUUCUGGCACAGAAAUACUAACCUGGUUUAAGAAAAGAGAUUAUAUUUUUUUAAACUGACCAGCAUCUUACCCAAUAAAAUAGGUUAAAAUAAAAAAAAAUCAUGAAAGGAACAUUGUAAAAGAGAAAUCCAGAAAGAACGGUGAGGGACUUGGCUUGUUUAAGUGGAGAAGGAGAUUCGAGCCGACUCACUCCACAUAGUUAUCCUCCUGUGUGUGGUUGUCUACACUGGACUGUUCCUUAAAUACUUUGGUUGUCAUCUCCAGACACUGGACUUCUUUAGAGACUCAAGGGGCAAGAGGCAGCACACCCCCCCCCCACCAAUGAAUGAGAACCUAUAUAUCAAUAUCAUGUCCAGUAGUUUUGGCAACAAGUAACAGAAAAUUGAUUCAAGCUGGCUUACACAGGGGUCAGCAAACAGCGGCUUGUAGAUUGACCAGCUGUUUGCUGGAACACGUUGACAUGUUCCCUUCUGGCAAAAGAAGGCGUUCCAGUGGCUAUGGGAUAUAAAUUUUCAAUCAGAUGGUGCCAGUUUAGAACACUUGUCCACCACUGGAGCAGGAUGGUUGCCAUAGAAAUGCACAUUUCUGACUCGUGUGGAAGCCUCUGUGAUGACGGGUGGCCUGCAGCAGCAAUGAGACCUGCAGAUGGGGGGUUGGGGGUUUGGCUCAGUGGUAGAGCGCUUACCUAGGAAGCGCAAGGUCCUGGGUUGGGUCCCCAGCUCUGGAAAAAAAAGAACUUGAUGAAAAAGAACUUGAUGAGACCUGCAGAUGGUCAGUCAGUGGAUAACUGCUUCCCGAUGACCAGACCCCAGACCCCAGGAGCCUGCAGGACUCUUCCCCAUCUUUAAACAUUUAUUUCCCUCUGUAUCUCUGAUUCACUGGGUUUUCUCUCUACCUGGUUCCUUUCACCCUCCCCCCCACACAGUGGAAAGUACAAGCACGAGCUUUUCAGACAUCGUUAGUCUUCCUGAUUGAACUCAUGUCCCCAGUCUUAUUUCCAAAUUUUUAGAGAUCACUUCUGAUCAUCCCAGUCAAGUUAGGGUCAUCCCUCAAUCAGAAGCGGGGUCUUCGAGGUCUAGGGAAAUUCUCACUAUAACCACAGGAGCAGAUUUAGUCUGCAAGAGAGAGAGAGGCAGGCGAGCCCAUGGGUAUUGGCUAAACGAAUUUACUUCUCUAUGUCAGACACAGGCCAAAUUUUUCCAUUCUAAGUAAUUAGUUGCAUGGAAAUAAUUUUUCAUCCGGGGAAAUGCAGACACAAAAAGGGUUCAUUCAGACAAGAUAUCACGUCUUUCAUAGAAGGCUGCAAAGGUAGGAAUGUGGUCUGGCAUCGCUGUCCCCCAAAUACAGUAUUAUCCUUGUCUCCAUGCUCUGAGACGGCGGCAAGUUAAGUCCACAGUUUUAGGCAGCAGAAGGAAGGGACUAAGAAAAGGCAAGAGUUACACACUAACUGUCAUUUAAGGAAAAUUCCAGAAGUUGACAUAUCCGAAUAGUGCAAGCCUAAUCUCAAAUUCUGUUCCAAAUCUAGAAAUAAUUUAAACACUGAAAUGAAACCACAACUGGAAAAUCCCACAUCGCGAAACAUUAUUUUAUGCUCCGAGUUAUUACAGGGACUCUACAAGCCUGCCUUAGGCACGGUGUAUCUGGGGGAAAAAAGGAUGAAUUUCCUGUUUAGAUGCCUCGCUCACAAAUACAAAGCCCUGGGUUCAGUCCCUCGCACCUGUAAUCCAGGAAAUGGAGACAGAAGGGUCAGAAGUUCAAAGUCAUCCUCAGCUAUAUAGUGACGUCAAGAAAAGUGAAAAGAAAAGCAAAUAUUCAAAACUCUAAAGGAAAAGAACCUGAAACCCUCAACACUUUUGGUCCCAAGCACUUUGAACAAGGGAAACUCCACCUGUCAUUCUACCUCCUGUCUCUUCAAGAGGACGACCUCUUUCUCUUUCAUGGACUUCAGUUUGCCCGUCUUAAAGAAUGAAUCCUCGUUUUUAUUACUAUAGAGCAAGAAAACAUGUACUAAGGGAUUAGUGGUGACCCUGCUGUGGGAUCAGUAGUGACUGCGUACUGGGCUUUCAUUUUCAGACUCUGCAAGACAAAACGAGCUCUUUAAAAAUUUUACAAUGUGAGGUUUUUGUUGUCUUUUCCUUAACUUUUCAUGUACCGGUGUUUUGUUCUAUCUUACGUAUGUCUGCGUACCACUUGCAUGGCUGGUACCCUCAGAGGCCAGAAGAGUAGACUGGAUCUCCUGGAAUUACAGUUACUGAGGGUUGUGAGCCUCCGUGUAGGUGCUGGGAAUUGAACAUGGGUCCUCCGGAAGAGCAGCCAAUGCUCUUACGCUGAGCCAUCUCUCCAGCCACAAAGCACUUCAUUUUUACUUAGUUGAUUUGCUUUGGCAAGUAAUAGUUGUUUCGAUUUCUAAACUACAAUGACAUUCUGGUCUGGUUGUAUAUGGUAGAAAGAGCCCAUCAAGAUAACUGAUUUAUUGUUAUAGCUGGGCGUGGGAUGUCUCCCAGAGGCUCAUAGUCCCUAGUUCAAGGCUUAGUCUCCAGGGCAGCAACAUUUGGAUGCGGGGUCUUGAGGAAGUGAUUGCAUUCCGAGAGCUCUGACAUCAGUAGAUUAUCCCACUGAUAGAAAUUCAGCAGACAGAAUCUAGUUGGAGGUAGUGAGUCCUCAGGAGCUCGUCCUGUAUCUUAUCCCAGUGCUCUUUGACUGGCUGUCACUAAAUGGGCAGCCUUGCUCCACCACAUGCUCCCUGCCACAAAGUUCGGCCUUGCCACGGGAAGCAAAGCCAAGAGCUCACACAAGGAAAUCUCUGAGUAAAUCCAGAACAAGUCUUUCCGCUUUUUUUUUUUUUUUUUUGGUUCUUUUUUUUUUUUUUUUUUUUUUUUCCGGAGCUGGGGACCGAACCCAGGGCCUUGCGCUUCCUAGGCAAGCGCUCUACCACUGAGCUAAAUCCCCAACCCCGUCUUUCCGCUUUUCAUUUUCUUGAGUAUUUUUUCACGGAUAAAAAAGUGAAUAUUGUCAUCUUUCACCUCACCAACUCCUUCGAUGAGGAUCUUUAAAAAUCUAUUGACAAUUUCAAAAUAAGCAAUUCUAACUCAGAAAGAAAAGAGGCGUUUGUCAUUAAGAAAUGUAAGCGAAGAGGUUAGCAAAACAACUCGUUCUCGCUCCCAUGAGUACCAGUUGUUUUCUAUUGCUGUGAUAAAACACUAUGACCACGGCAACAAGGAAGAGAAAGAUUCUCGGCUUAUGAUUCCAGAAGGUUGAGAGUCCCCAUGGUACAGCAGAGGCAGGAAGGUGAGAGCUGACAUCUUGAACCACAAGUAGAGAGAGCGAGAGAGAGAGAGAGAGAGAGAGAGAGAGAGAGAGAGAGAGAGAGAGAGAGAACAGCAAAUAGCGUGGGGGCUUAGGUUCUCAAAGCCCACUCCUCAGUGCCCUGCUUCCCCUAGCAAGGCCACACCUCCUAAACCUCCCCAAACAUUGCUACCAACUGAGAACAAAGUGAUCAAUCAAACUACUGCACCCUGGAACUGAAAUGGAAACACACAGUUACUGUUUUAUUUAUGCCGUGUGAGAUAUUCAUUAUAAAAGCAACGUUGUUUUCCUAGUGAGGAAUGCGCCUCCAAUGACAAGUUCAUGUGAUGUGGUUUUAGGAAAAAUUCUGUGUAAUUCUAUAGGUGUCACACUAUAAAAGGAGACAGAUUAACAUUUCUUAAGUUCUGACUCUCUGACUCUGACUAAGGCACAUCAAAAGCUGGGAAUCUAUCGUUUGAGCCCGGAAAACACUUUCUGCUGCUCAGCUAUCACAAUGGUCCAGGGCUAUUGGUUAGUGAAAUCACAUCCUGAAACUGUAGCUACAAUGAGAGCUUGUGACGACUCUAUCCAAUGCCUUUCAGCUGAUUGCUGAUUGUAGGUUUCUUGUGGACAGAUGAUUGAUCCAACCUCUUGCGAUGGAGGAAUGUCUCUAGUGGUGAUUUAGCUCAUUUAGAUGGAGAAAACAAAAUGUGGAUCAGGGCUCAUGCCUGCAAAGAAAUGGUGUAGGGAAGUUGGGCUUUUUGGUUUUUUUUUUUUUUUUUAAGUGACUGAAAAGUUCCAGUGAAAUUAAGUUGCACCGCUGAGCUGUGCCAGCCUUGUGAGCCAACACCCUUCCUGCAGUCAGGGAGCAUAAGAGCAGUUACGUCAAAUAUUAUCUGGCAACAAGAAUAGAACAUUAUUCUGAGCAAUAAAGUGUUAUUCAAAUUGGACAGAAGUGUACAGAUGCAGUAACGUGGUAAUUAUUCUAAGAACGAGUGUCUAAUUUAGAAAUUACCUAACCUUUUGGUUUCUAUUUCAGAUGACAUUUGUAAUCUAAAUGAGCAACCAACCUGCUUUUACAUCAAACUCAAAACAUGAUUUGCAAUUUUAUUUCAAGCUCAGCCUCCCCUUUAUUAGCGUUCAGUCAAUAUCUCAAAGACUGAGAUAUUUUAGGCGCAGGUGCUUUGCAGACAAAGAAUAGAGAAGUGAAGAAAUUAGUUUCAUUGUUUCUCAUGGUGAAGCAGCAGCCUGUCACAAUUCCCCGUUCCCUCUCAAGCUGUCCCCUGAGGUCUGGGCAUGGGAGGAAGGGCACGGGAGGAAGUCACAGAAUGACUGAUGUUUGCUCUGUGUUGGGACUGUCGCCUCUCCCCAUGAACUAACAAAACAACCCACCAUUGCUUAUACACUGUCAGCUUUCAAUCCUCUGAAAUCCACUCAUCAUUUCAUUAUUUCGGAAAUAAGUUUUCAGGUUCUUGUUUGUACUGAGCUCUGUGCUUAACUAGGACCAGAAAGGGCUCCCGUUCUCAGACACUUUACCAUUCAGUGAUACUGGUUUCCCUUUGGCUACAGGACAAUCUGCAAGUAUACAAGAGAUGACUGAAGGAAAUAUGUAUACAUGACCAGAAAACUAUUGGGUGGAAUUAUGGGUAACUCUUUUAAGUAUUUAAAUGUCCUAUGAUGCCAUUCUAUUCCUACAGCAAUGCUUUUAAUUAAAAAAAAAUAUGGCGAUUGUUUAAAAUACUAGUCUUAUAUUUUAAGUGACAGUUAUUUAUUCAACUAGAAUCACUUUAAGGGGGAACAACUUUAUUAUAAAUUAUAAGUGAUGGAGUGAGGUAGCUCAUGCCUGUAUCUAGCACCUAGGACGUAGAGGCAGAAGGAUCCUGAUUUUAAGGUCAGCCUGGGCUACGCAGAAGUCUGGUAUAGACCAGUCUACUUUGAAAGAUCCUGUCUCAAAGGGAAAAAAAGUGUUUCCUAAGAAAUUCAUAUCAAUUAUUUUAAUCAUAUUAAAAGACAUUAUAUUCCUACUUGUAUAACCGAGUUGUCACAGUAAAAUCACAGAAGACCUCCCGGGAGGCCUGUGUGAGAAUGCUGGGCAUUGGGCUGGAGAGAUAGCUCAGCCGUUAAAGGCUAGGCUCACAGCCAAAAAUAUAAGGGAAUGCUGGGCAUUGGCCUCCACAGGAUGGAGAACCUCGAGGAGAAUGACCCUUCAAUGUCUGUGCCAACCCUGUAGUCAUUUUUACACACCC
Long non-coding RNA from Rattus norvegicus (Norway rat), 6439 nucleotides. RefSeq lists it as uncharacterized. NCBI's taxonomy places the organism in Eukaryota, Metazoa, Chordata, Mammalia, Rodentia, Muridae. The record is from RefSeq and is a predicted model, not a curated record.